GCGGGUGUAGUUCAAUGGCAGAACGGCAGCUUCCCAAGCUGCAUAUAAGGGUUCGAUUCCCAUCGCCCGCUCCA
Molecule: transfer RNA, 74 nt
Filed under: Comamonas suwonensis
Lineage: Bacteria; Pseudomonadati; Pseudomonadota; Betaproteobacteria; Burkholderiales; Comamonadaceae
Description: tRNA-Gly
Rfam family: tRNA
About the family: Transfer RNA (tRNA) molecules are approximately 80 nucleotides in length. Their secondary structure includes four short double-helical elements and three loops (D, anti-codon, and T loops). Further hydrogen bonds mediate the characteristic L-shaped molecular structure. tRNAs have two regions of fundamental functional importance: the anti-codon, which is responsible for specific mRNA codon recognition, and the 3' end, to which the tRNAs corresponding amino acid is attached (by aminoacyl-tRNA synthetases). tRNAs cope with the degeneracy of the genetic code in two manners: having more than one tRNA (with a specific anti-codon) for a particular amino acid; and 'wobble' base-pairing, i.e. permitting non-standard base-pairing at the 3rd anti-codon position.
Source: RNAcentral